GCCAGCGUAGUGUAGUGGUUUGGACGCUGGACUAUGACUCUAGAGACCAGGGUCCGAGUCCCAACAUGAUA
Phrynosoma platyrhinos (Desert horned lizard) is the source of this 71-nucleotide non-coding RNA. The record is from the annotation of a GenBank genome assembly. NCBI's taxonomy places the organism in Eukaryota, Metazoa, Chordata, Lepidosauria, Squamata, Phrynosomatidae.